GAUGUUGAUAUCCUAAGAUACUGUAUGAUAUCCUAAGAUAUCAAUAUCUUAGGAUAUCAUACAGUAUCUUAGGAUAUCAACAU
Molecule: non-coding RNA, 83 nt
Organism: Paramuricea clavata
Lineage: Eukaryota; Metazoa; Cnidaria; Anthozoa; Malacalcyonacea; Plexauridae
Source: the annotation of a GenBank genome assembly